RNAcentral lists this ribosomal RNA (489 nucleotides) under uncultured bacterium. Its description in RNAcentral is "bacterial SSU rRNA". It matches the Rfam family "Bacterial small subunit ribosomal RNA", at positions 34 to 518 of the family's 1533-position model. The record is from RNAcentral.
CGCUGGCGGCGUGCUUAACACAUGCAAGUCGAACGAGGAUAUACCAGAGGAGAGCUUCGGCAGGAAUCGGGUAUAUUCGAGUGGCGGACGGGUGAGUAACGCGUGAGCAACCUGCCCAGACAGGGGGAUAACACUUGGAAACAGGUGCUAAUACCGCAUAAGACCACGGUAUCACAUGGUAGUGGGGUAAAAGGAGCAAUCCGGUUUGGGGUGGGCUCGCGUCCGAUUAGAUAGUUGGUGAGGUAACGGCCCACCAAGUCGACGAUCGGUAGCCGACCUGAGAGGGUGAUCGGCCACAUUGGAACUGAGAGACGGUCCAAACUCCUACGGGAGGCAGCAGUGGGGAAUAUUGGGCAAUGGGCGAAAGCCUGACCCAGCAACGCCGCGUGAGUGAAGAAGGCCUUCGGGUUGUAAAGCUCUGUUAUAGUUGACGAAGGAAGUGACGGUAGGCUAUAAGGAAGCCCCGGCUAACUACGUGCCAGCCGCUGC